CAUCCCAGCUCCCUCCUUCCCCGGCCCCCCAGCAGCCUACGGCUUCCAGGGAGGGGACAGGGGUGCAGCCUACCCCGCUCAGCCUGGCUUCCAGGGAGGUGACAGGGGAGCAGCCUACCCCCCUCAGCCUGGCUUCCAGGGAGGGGACAGGGGUGCAGCCUACCCCGCUCAGCCUGGCUUCCAGAGAGGUCCCCAACCCAGCAUGUACCCACCACCUCCCCAGUACAGCAUGGGCAUGGCACAACCUACAAACGCCCCGGCGUAACCCAGGUGGUGGUGAUGCAGCAGCUGCCUAGAGACGUGCCCGGCCAGAUGACGUGUCCCCAGUGUCAGGUCCAGGUUCUGACAGAGACCACACACACCCCUGGACUGCUCACCUGGGUCUUCUGUGGAGCCCUCGGCUGCUUCCUGUGCUGGCCAUGCUGUUUGAUUCCGUUCUGUGUUGACUCCUGGAAGAACGUAGAACACCGCUGCCCCAACUGCAAGAUGGUGAUCCACAUCCACAAAAGCAUGUGAACAGGCACAAAAACACCUGCCACAAAGUGAUCCAUAUCUACAAACCCUAUAUAUGAACAGACCUAGCCAAAGCACAUAUGAAUUUAAAUCUAUUAGCGUUCACUACUAGCACAUCCAAGAGGCUUUCUAUACCAGAGACUCUGUAAUUCAUAUCACACACACACAUGCACAGACACACACACACACACAUACUACAUGAACCAAUUCAGUGCAUAAUCCACAUUAGAAAGACAAUAGGCUACUGUCUCUCUGAAAUGACUACUGCAAGGGCAGCUUCAUCUACUGUGAAUGUGAAUGUGUGACAGGAUAUCCUUUCACCAUGUUUUUGGUCAGUGUGUUUCCCAGGUGACCCUAAUUAGCAGGUUGACGGUUAUUGUCAUGAAUCUUGCCCUGGAGGCAGAACUGAGCAAUUUCCGAUAGAUGGGCCGGCUGCAAAAGUCAAAAUUGACUAUAUCAUAAAAAUUCAUGAAAACAAAAAUGAGCUUUUUGGUCUUCAUUUAAGGUUAGGGUUAGACAUUAUGGUUAGCAUAU
Coregonus clupeaformis (lake whitefish) is the source of this 1047-nucleotide long non-coding RNA. RefSeq lists it as uncharacterized. The transcript is spliced from 4 exons. NCBI's taxonomy places the organism in Eukaryota, Metazoa, Chordata, Actinopteri, Salmoniformes, Salmonidae. The record is from RefSeq and is a predicted model, not a curated record.